GGAAAAGAAGACAACAAAGAAGAGGCCAACAGGGUUAAAAGCCAUGGGGAGUAUGGAAACUGAUUCAGAAUGAGGAUCAAAAUGUGAAGAAAUUGAAACUGAACUGACCCUUUUGAUUAUUUUUUUUGGAAUGGUGAAUUUGAAUGAAGAAUAGAAGAAGAGAAAAGAGAUAAUGUGAAUCUCUCAUCAUCCUCAGCCUCUGCUCUCUGCCCUUUUGGAAUUAUGACUCAAAGUCACAAUUUGCCUUUGGAUUUGAUGCUAAAGAAGUCCACUUUUGGUGCUAUGUUUGGCAGUGCCGCGAAAGCGAU
Molecule: unclassified non-coding RNA, 308 nt
Filed under: Hevea brasiliensis (rubber tree)
Lineage: Eukaryota; Viridiplantae; Streptophyta; Magnoliopsida; Malpighiales; Euphorbiaceae
Source: RNAcentral